UGGAUGGCGUGGGUCGGCUGGCUCUUUGCUCGUGCAUCGAACYGUNGGCGCUCCAUCCGCUUCAGUCUUGCCCCAAGCGCGGCUCCCGGCUUGCGGGUGCUUGAGGUAUCCUGUUUUGCUUACCCGCGGAAAGGAAUUCGACGGUUAUGGUUUCCCCAUUCGCCUUGCGCCCUUCGAGGUGCGGGGUGGACCCGAGGCGGGCUCCGUGUUCCCCGCGUGCCGAGUGCGUUGACGCUCGGUCGCUGUGGCCCAUGGGGCUCGGCCCGUGCUCUCGGAUGCGGAAUGCUGUGUGUGGGCGUGGGGUCUCGGCCUCUGUUCGUCCCGGCUGCACGCAUUGUCCCUUGACGUGAACGACCGUCGCGCCCGUCUUGAUCGGCCRACCGAGCSCCCGUCGCGGGGUUCCGGGAGGGCGGCUCANGCGGGUGUCGGC
RNAcentral lists this unclassified non-coding RNA (430 nucleotides) under Zanthoxylum tahitense. Its description in RNAcentral is "partial external transcribed spacer". The record is from RNAcentral. Lineage: Eukaryota; Viridiplantae; Streptophyta; Magnoliopsida; Sapindales; Rutaceae.